UACGAAGGGGGCUAGCGUUGUUCGGAUUUACUGGGCGUAAAGCGCACAUAGGCGGAUCGUUAAGUCGGGGGUGAAAUCCUGGAGCUCAACUCCAGAACUGCCUUCGAUACUGGCGAUCUAGAGUCCGGAAGAGGUGAGUGGAACUCCUAGUGUAGAGGUGGAAUUCGUAGAUAUUAGGAAGAACACCAGUGGCGAAGGCGGCUCACUGGUCCGGUACUGACGCUGAGGUGCGAAAGCGUGGGGAGCAAACAGG
This 253-nucleotide ribosomal RNA is filed under the name uncultured bacterium. RNAcentral's name for it is "partial 16S ribosomal RNA". It matches the Rfam family "Bacterial small subunit ribosomal RNA", at positions 524 to 776 of the family's 1533-position model. The record is from RNAcentral.